CGUUGCGAUUGACAUGAUUUAGUCUUAGAUCUAAAAUAGAUCAAUCCAUACGCGAUAAGAGGUACUGCUCUGCAUGAAACAGUCAGUAAUAUCAAGCCAAGCAACUGUUUUGUAUUUAUCAUUGAUGAAAUUCAUCAUAUCGGCGUUGUUGGUAUACGCUGUUUGUGAUAAGAGCUUGGAGAAAAUGGUGCAUGAAUAAAUUUAAAACAGUUAAACAUUGUAUUACAAGCAAUACAUAUUGGUGUUUGGAACUAAAUGCUCACAGCCUUGUAAAAUAUAUCAACAUUUGUAGAGAUGAAAACAUACCAUAUAUACCUACACUUUUGCACAGUCAGACAUGCGAAAGUUUUUUUCGUGCAGCACGAUCGUUUAGAACAACUGAAUCGACAGCGGUUAAUUUCACAAUGAAAAGUUUUCAAUCCAGACUGAAUCGCAUACAAGCAAAACAAGAUAUUAUGUAUAGCAGGAAUGAAGAAUUUCCUUCUCGAGAAUACAACAAAAUACAAAUACUGUAAACUUCGACAUGCCAUCAACUCAAGAAAUUGUAUGUACUUUAACGAAAUCAAGAGCAUAUGCAUUUGAUACUCUUAUCAGUCUUGGAAUUGAUAAAUUGGAUAUCGAAUUUACAGAUUCUCUUUCAUUACGACAUUCGCGAAAAAUACCAACUGAUUUUGAAUUCAUUUCUCUACAAUGCCCCGGAAAUAGUGCAAUUGGACGAAACUUUGACAUACAUUCGCCAUUAGAAACAAGAAAGGUACUGUGAUUCAUGUCAAGAAAAGUACGUUCCUAUGGAUUUUAUCUAAUGGCACUCAAAGAUGUUCGAGUAAUCGCUCUUAUCGAUUUCGAGAAACAUCAGCAGUCAAUGAAGCAGUUGUGCGUGAGGUUGAUAAAGUAUUUACUUCUAUCCGCUGCGGAGAAUGGAUAGCGAUGAAAGCAAACGAGGAAGUGUUAAUAGUAAAAAUAUAUGGUUUCAAAUAUUUGAGUGGAAACCGAACGUGCUAUACUUUAACUGAAGCUCCAAUACAUGUACCUACAGGUAUCACAGCAAAAGGUGUUGGGGUAAUUGGAAGUUACUUUACAAUUGUUUGUUGUAAAAAGGAUAUUGUAUUAGAAUUAGAUGAAGAAUCCAACGAACGUACUCUAGACACAAAAUACUAUAUCUCUCAUUUGGAAAAGCCAGAAACUCACACUUAUGGCAUAUUUUAUAAAUUAAACACAUCGAAAUACAUUCGUGCACUUUUAUUGACCUCUGAUAAUACAAUAAAUAAAAAUAUGAUUUGAAUGAA
Malaya genurostris is the source of this 1286-nucleotide long non-coding RNA. RefSeq lists it as uncharacterized. Lineage: Eukaryota; Metazoa; Arthropoda; Insecta; Diptera; Culicidae. The transcript has 2 exons. The record is from RefSeq and is a predicted model, not a curated record.